Molecule: ribosomal RNA, 377 nt
Filed under: Escherichia coli
Lineage: Bacteria; Pseudomonadati; Pseudomonadota; Gammaproteobacteria; Enterobacterales; Enterobacteriaceae
Description: bacterial SSU rRNA
Rfam family: Bacterial small subunit ribosomal RNA
Source: RNAcentral
GCUGUCGUCAGCUCGUGUUGUGAAAUGUUGGGUUAAGUCCCGCAACGAGCGCAACCCUUAUCCUUUGUUGCCAGCGGUCCGGCCGGGAACUCAAAGGAGACUGCCAGUGAUAAACUGGAGGAAGGUGGGGAUGACGUCAAGUCAUCAUGGCCCUUACGACCAGGGCUACACACGUGCUACAAUGGCGCAUACAAAGAGAAGCGACCUCGCGAGAGCAAGCGGACCUCAUAAAGUGCGUCGUAGUCCGGAUUGGAGUCUGCAACUCGACUCCAUGAAGUCGGAAUCGCUAGUAAUCGUGGAUCAGAAUGCCACGGUGAAUACGUUCCCGGGCCUUGUACACACCGCCCGUCACACCAUGGGAGUGGGUUGCAAAAGAA